UACAGAGGUCUCAAGCGUUGUUCGGAUUCAUUGGGCGUAAAGGGUGCGUAGGCGGCGUGGUAAGUCGGGUGUGAAGUUUCGGAGCUUAACUCCGAAACUGCAUUCGAUACUGCUGUGCUUGAGGACUGGAGAGGAGACUGGAAUUUACGGUGUAGCAGUGAAAUGCGUAGAGAUCGUAAGGAAGACCAGUGGCGAAGGCGGGUCUCUGGACAGUUCCUGACACUGAGGCACGAAGGCCAGGGGAGCAAACGGG
This 253-nucleotide ribosomal RNA is filed under the name uncultured bacterium. RNAcentral describes it as "partial 16S ribosomal RNA". It matches the Rfam family "Bacterial small subunit ribosomal RNA", at positions 524 to 776 of the family's 1533-position model. The record is from RNAcentral.